UACGUAGGGGGCAAGCGUUGUCCGGAUUUAUUGGGCGUAAAGAGCGUGUAGGCGGCCAUACAGGUCAGCUGUGAAAACUCGAGGCUCAACCUCGAGACGUCGGUUGAAACCGUAUGGCUAGAGUCCGGAAGAGGAGAGUGGAAUUCCCGGUGUAGCGGUGAAAUGCGCAGAUAUCGGGAAGAACACCCGUGGCGAAGGCGGCUCUCUGGGACGGUACUGACGCUGAGACGCGAAAGCUAGGGGAGCGAACGGG
RNAcentral lists this ribosomal RNA (253 nucleotides) under uncultured bacterium. RNAcentral's name for it is "partial 16S ribosomal RNA". It matches the Rfam family "Bacterial small subunit ribosomal RNA", at positions 524 to 776 of the family's 1533-position model. The record is from RNAcentral.